RNAcentral lists this ribosomal RNA (368 nucleotides) under uncultured myxomycete. RNAcentral describes it as "bacterial SSU rRNA". It matches the Rfam family "Eukaryotic small subunit ribosomal RNA", at positions 76 to 407 of the family's 1831-position model. Lineage: Eukaryota; Evosea; Eumycetozoa. The record is from RNAcentral.
UCUCUCUGAAUCUGCGAACGGCUCCGCAAACCAGUUGGAAACUAGAGCAAGCAAGUCUGCCGGGCUUCGGCCUCCAGACGAUAUGGAUAACCCUGGUAAUUCUGAGGCUAAUACAUGACCGCAAAACCGGGCAGCCCAGCAAUGGAUGCUCGGGGAUGCGCGAUAUGGCUUGACAAUAACCGGGAAAGGACGCACACUCAGACCGCGCUAAAAAGGAUCGGGACUCUCUUCGGAGAACCUGGCCCCAGCGGCUCUUGCUGUGUGCUUCUGACCUAUCAACUAGACGGCAGCGUGAUGGACAUGCUAUGGUGACAACGGGUGCAGAGGAUUAGGGUUCGAUCCUGGAGAGUGGGCCUGAGAGAUUGAGC